RNAcentral lists this ribosomal RNA (264 nucleotides) under uncultured bacterium. Its description in RNAcentral is "partial 16S ribosomal RNA". It matches the Rfam family "Bacterial small subunit ribosomal RNA", at positions 90 to 354 of the family's 1533-position model. The record is from RNAcentral.
CGUUAGUGGCGGGACGGGUGAGUAACGCGUGGGAACCUGCCUUGCACCGGGGGAUAACACUUAGAAAUAGGUGCUAAUACCGCAUAAGCGCACAGAGCCGCAUGGCUCGGUGUGAAAAACUCCGGUGGUGCAAGAUGGACCCGCGUCUGAUUAGCUGGUUGGCGGGGUAACGGCCCACCAAGGCGACGAUCAGUAGCCGGCCUGAGAGGGUGAACGGCCACAUUGGGACUGAGACACGGCCCAAACUCCUACGGGAGGCAGCAG